UAUUUGGUUUUCUAUUCCUGUGUUAGUUUCCCAGCUGAAUUCAAACUCAUUCCCAGAUGACUUGGCCUCCUCAAUUGAUGUACACUGAAGAAAGAGCCACCUUCAGGCUGUAAGGUCAUCGUAUAAUCCUGACCACUCAUUUCCCAUCAUGACGCUGCUGUUCCUUCUCUUUCUCUUUCUUGGAUGUCUGAUACAAACAGCCUCAGAACUUGGCUCAUAAAGAAGAAAAUGGUGAAAAGGAGGACAGCAAUCCUCACGGCUGAAGAAAGAAGAAAGUUUGGCUUCAUUUCCAGGAGGC
This 298-nucleotide long non-coding RNA is filed under the name Pan troglodytes (chimpanzee). RNAcentral describes it as "lncRNA (ENSPTRG00000054450.1)". Lineage: Eukaryota; Metazoa; Chordata; Mammalia; Primates; Hominidae. The record is from RNAcentral.